Molecule: long non-coding RNA, 393 nt
Organism: Gossypium arboreum
Lineage: Eukaryota; Viridiplantae; Streptophyta; Magnoliopsida; Malvales; Malvaceae
Exons: 3
Source: RefSeq, a predicted model, not a curated record
AAUGGAUGAAAUAUGAAGUUUUAUUAAAAGAAAAAGGGGUGAAAAGAACAAAGUUUUGUCCAUCUUUGUUCAUCAUAGCUAAAAGUUAGAGAAGAGAAAGGAGAGGAGAAAGCUCUUGAGUAUUCGGUCAUUAGGAGGAGAAAAAUUGAAGGCAGUUCGUGUGUGGAUCUCGUCAGUAUAUCGUCGCAAACAGGAAACCCCCAACCAUAGUGGGCUUGGAGCUGUGAGGGAAUUCGGAGUGGCCACCCGUUCUGAAAGUUUGAUUUUCUUCUGGUGAACUGGACAUCCUUUUAAUUACGUUUGAGGUUUUAGGCUUUUAAAUGUAAUAAGGCCGCUUAUUUAUUUUUGAUGGUUUUUAAUAUGUAUUACUAAGAUAGGUAAUACUUAUUUUAA